RNAcentral lists this ribosomal RNA (253 nucleotides) under uncultured bacterium. RNAcentral's name for it is "partial 16S ribosomal RNA". It matches the Rfam family "Bacterial small subunit ribosomal RNA", at positions 524 to 776 of the family's 1533-position model. The record is from RNAcentral.
UACGAAGGGGACGAGCGUUGUUCGGAAUUACUGGGCGUAAAGUGUGCGCAGGUGGCUUCGCAAGUCGAGUGUGAAAGCCCCGGGCUUAACCUGGGAAUUGCGCUCGAAACUACGGAGCUCGAGUGUGGCAGAGGAAGGUGGAAUUCCACGUGUAGCGGUGAAAUGCGUAGAGAUGUGGAGGAACACCAAUGGCGAAGGCAGCCUUCUGGGCCAACACUGACACUCAUGCACGAAAGCGUGGGGAGCAAACAGG